CCCGGGCUACGGGGCUCCGGGGCGUCUGGCCUGGUUGGGACUGAGCCCAUCCAGGGACUGGGACUCUGGGAUUCUGGUGUAGGUGGAUCCGGGGCAGGCUCAGGACCAAGUCCCUCUCCUUCCACCAAGGAGCGCCCAGAGGCCGGCGGGAGCUCCAGGUUCACCUCCUCCUCCUCCAGGAAAUCUCACUUCCAACUGGAUGUCUGGAUGAACUACUGAAAGCUGCUGAGUGUCCUGCAGCAGCUUGACUACCACACAAAUGAAUCCACUCAAAUGUUGGCAAGUGGAGCAGAGUCCCAGGACAGGUACAGAAACACCCCCAGUUCAAGGAUCUUCACACCUGGAUUUAGGCCUACUCCUGCAACUACCCCAGAACCUGGAAUUUAUAUGUUCAACAUGGAGCCAUCCCAGCCAUGACAACAGAGAAUGUACCACUCUCACGCCAGUUAUCCAGGCAGUGACUUUCAGUGCAGCUACAGUCACCUCUGG
This 489-nucleotide long non-coding RNA is filed under the name Homo sapiens (human). Its description in RNAcentral is "non-protein coding FAM66B:5". The record is from RNAcentral. Lineage: Eukaryota; Metazoa; Chordata; Mammalia; Primates; Hominidae.